GAUAGGAAAGGCAGCAGAAUACAACAGUCACUAAUAUGGCAUUAUGUAAAAAUUGUGAAUGUGUAACUGAUGUGAUUCUGCAAUUUGUAUUUGGGGUAAAAACGGGAAUUCAUAACUCACCUGAAUCAAAUGUAUGAAAGAUGAUAUGUCAUGAGCUUUGUAAUGUUUUGAACAACCAAUAAAAAAAUUAAAAAAAAAAAAAAAGAAUGUGUGCUUACAAAAAAAUCCAGAAGCACUAUACUGUCACAAGCACGGUAAACUUGGUAGCAGUUUGGGGUUUUUAAUUUGGAGAUGGGUCAUGUGGGGAUG
This 309-nucleotide long non-coding RNA is filed under the name Marmota monax (woodchuck). The record is from RNAcentral. Lineage: Eukaryota; Metazoa; Chordata; Mammalia; Rodentia; Sciuridae.